This 244-nucleotide ribosomal RNA is filed under the name Acinetobacter baumannii. RNAcentral describes it as "partial 16S ribosomal RNA". It matches the Rfam family "Bacterial small subunit ribosomal RNA", at positions 117 to 364 of the family's 1533-position model. Lineage: Bacteria; Pseudomonadati; Pseudomonadota; Gammaproteobacteria; Moraxellales; Moraxellaceae. The record is from RNAcentral.
CUGGGAAACUGCCUGAUGGAGGGGGAUAACUACUGGAAACGGUAGCUAAUACCGCAUAAUGUCGCAAGACCAAAGUGGGGGACCUUCGGGCCUCAUGCCAUCAGAUGUGCCCAGAUGGGAUUAGCUAGUAGGUGGGGUAACGGCUCACCUAGGCGACGAUCCCUAGCUGGUCUGAGAGGAUGACCAGCCACACUGGAACUGAGACACGGUCCAGACUCCUACGGGAGGCAGCAGUGGGGAAUAU